Molecule: transfer RNA, 86 nt
Filed under: Candidatus Peribacteria bacterium
Lineage: Bacteria; Candidatus Peregrinibacteriota; Candidatus Peribacteria
Also listed under: 1 other name
Description: tRNA-Leu
Rfam family: tRNA
About the family: Transfer RNA (tRNA) molecules are approximately 80 nucleotides in length. Their secondary structure includes four short double-helical elements and three loops (D, anti-codon, and T loops). Further hydrogen bonds mediate the characteristic L-shaped molecular structure. tRNAs have two regions of fundamental functional importance: the anti-codon, which is responsible for specific mRNA codon recognition, and the 3' end, to which the tRNAs corresponding amino acid is attached (by aminoacyl-tRNA synthetases). tRNAs cope with the degeneracy of the genetic code in two manners: having more than one tRNA (with a specific anti-codon) for a particular amino acid; and 'wobble' base-pairing, i.e. permitting non-standard base-pairing at the 3rd anti-codon position.
Source: RNAcentral
GCCGACGUGGCGGAAUGGUAGACGCGCACGCUUCAGAAGCGUGUAGGAGCAAUCCUGUGAGAGUUCAAGUCUCUCCGUCGGCACCA